Small nucleolar RNA from Capra hircus (goat), 135 nucleotides. Its record names the gene SNORA70. It matches the Rfam family "Small nucleolar RNA SNORA70". From Rfam's summary of the family: snoRNA U70 seems to be exclusive to mammals and is a member of the H/ACA class of snoRNA which contain H (ANANNA) and ACA box motifs. NCBI's taxonomy places the organism in Eukaryota, Metazoa, Chordata, Mammalia, Artiodactyla, Bovidae. The record is from Ensembl.
UUGCAGCUAAUUAAGCCGACUGUGCGCUUUUCCCUCUGGGGUCCCAGUGUGCAGUGGCUGCAGACAGCAGCCUCCCUGGUAGUGUAUGCGGUCAGUUGUCUGUACAGGUCGCCCUAAGGGAUCUUGAAGACAACU